RNAcentral lists this ribosomal RNA (664 nucleotides) under uncultured bacterium. RNAcentral describes it as "bacterial SSU rRNA". It matches the Rfam family "Bacterial small subunit ribosomal RNA", at positions 60 to 684 of the family's 1533-position model. The record is from RNAcentral.
AGUCGAGCGAGUCUGCCUUGAAGAUCGGAGUGCUUGCACUCUGUGAAACAAGAUACAGGCUAGCGGCGGACGGGUGAGUAACACGUGGGUAACCUGCCCAAGAGAUCGGGAUAACACCUGGAAACAGAUGCUAAUACCGGAUAACAACAGAUGAUGCCUAUCAACUGUUUAAAAGAUGGUUCUGCUAUCACUCUUGGAUGGACCUGCGGUGCAUUAGCUAGUUGGUAGGGUAACGGCCUACCAAGGCGAUGAUGCAUAGCCGAGUUGAGAGACUGAUCGGCCACAUUGGGACUGAGACACGGCCCAAACUCCUACGGGAGGCAGCAGUAGGGAAUCUUCCACAAUGGACGCAAGUCUGAUGGAGCAACGCCGCGUGAGUGAAGAAGGGUUUCGGCUCGUAAAGCUCUGUUGUUGGUGAAGAAGGACAGGGGUAGUAACUGACCUUUGUUUGACGGUAAUCAAUUAGAAAGUCACGGCUAACUACGUGCCAGCAGCCGCGGUAAUACGUAGGUGGCAAGCGUUGUCCGGAUUUAUUGGGCGUAAAGCGAGUGCAGGCGGCUCGAUAAGUCUGAUGUGAAAGCCUUCGGCUCAACCGGAGAAUUGCAUCAGAAACUGUCGAGCUUGAGUACAGAAGAGGAGAGUGGAACUCCAUGUGUAGCGGUGA